RNAcentral lists this ribosomal RNA (459 nucleotides) under uncultured bacterium. RNAcentral describes it as "SSU rRNA". It matches the Rfam family "Bacterial small subunit ribosomal RNA", at positions 26 to 518 of the family's 1533-position model. The record is from RNAcentral.
AGGAUUAACGCUGGCGGCGUGCCUAACACAUGCAAGUCGAACGAGGUAGCAAUACCUAGUGGCAGACGGGUGAGUAACGCGUGGUCAACCUACCGUUGAGUGGGGGAUAACUAGCCGAAAGGUUAGCUAAUACCGCAUACGAGUUUUGGGGGCAUCCCCGACUCUUAAAAGGAGCAAUCCGCUCGAUGACGGGACCGCGUCCCAUUAGCUAGAUGGUGGGUAACGGCCUACCAUGGCUCCGAUGGGUAGCUGGUUUGAGAGAGCGACCAGCCACACUGGGACUGAGAAACGGCCCAGACUCCUACGGGAGGCAGCAGUGAGGAAUUUUCCGCAAUGGGCGAAAGCCUGACGGAGCGACGCCGCGUGUGGGAAGAAGGCCUCGGGUCGUAAACCACUGUCGAAGGGACGAUAAUGACGGUACCUUGGAGGAAGCCCGGCUAACUACGUGCCAGCAGCCGC